This 1497-nucleotide long non-coding RNA is filed under the name Marmota monax (woodchuck). Lineage: Eukaryota; Metazoa; Chordata; Mammalia; Rodentia; Sciuridae. The record is from RNAcentral.
AUAUACACAUGUAUAUGUAGUAUAUUAAUGUGUCAAUAUUAGCAUUACAUAUAAAUAGACAAAUAUCUCAAAAGAUAGAUUGACUUAUAUACCCAAUGUAUAAGGAUUAAGGACCUAAAGUAUAAGGAAUUAGAUAUAAAUAAAAUAUAGAUACAUCAAAAUCAUAUAGCUACAGAAAGGUUAAAAGUAAAAUAAUGGGGGCUGGGGAUGUGGCUCAAGUGGUAGCGCGCUUACCUGGCAUGCGUGCGGCCCGGGUUCAAACCUCAGCACCACAUACAAAAAGAUAUUGUGUCCGCCGAAAACUAAAAAAAAUUAAAAUAAUGGAAAAAGAUAUGCCACAUGCAACACUAAUUUAUAAAAGGCUAUAGGAAUACCUGAAAAAAAAGGAUUUUAAAGAAAAAAUGUAUAUAUCACUAGACAUAAAGAAGGACAUUUAUAUAAACAUACAAAAAUUGUGUAUGUGAUUUUUCACCAUCUCUGGACCAUUGAAAAUGAUGUGAAACACUAGAUAAGUAGCAACUCAUGGCUUUAAAAAUGUUUUUGAGGAGUAAAGAAUAAUUAAAGAACUUAGAGAAACACUCGGAAAUCAAGGAGAACUGAUAAAUUCUCCAAGGCCAAUGCCAAAGAACAAGACAACCUAGCAAACUGUGGUCAUUAUAAGUUAAAAUAUGUAAAUCAGUUAAUUUCUAAAUAAUAUAUGAAGUAAACACUUAAAAUAUCAAGAAAGACUCAGCUCAAGAAGUAGCAGUAAUAGAUGUUAAAACAAAAAUCAUGCUGAACUAGAAAAAACCAACCCCUUGAUCUGAGAAUUGACACUCAAUUUUGUUCCCUGACUUGAUAUUAAACAUUGAUGUACACCUUAAAAAUGUCAGCAGGGGAAAACAAUAAUUAUUAUAUGUAUAUCAUUAUAUUUACACUUUAUUUUGUCUACUGAUUUUGAAAAAUUCCUUUAUAACUUGUCAUAGUGCAGUCCACAGUUCUAAUUUUGAAGAUUUAUUAUAGUGUAGUUUGGCCUUGGAAUCUAAUGAAUUUACAUAAAUUCUUUGGGAAUCUAAUCUGUAAAUCAGGAAGAUACUUAUCUGCAGAGAUUACUCAUUCCUUGGACAAAUCAGACAAACUUGUCAGCAUGUAUUGGCUGCAAACAUCAUAUGUAACACUAGAGGGUGGUACUAUAUAAACAAAAGAAAGGAACGCAGCCUGCUGAGAAUUAAGUGGAAGGUUUAGAGGAUUCAUCUCAAGGACAUAUACGAAAGGUUAAAAGCAUGUGUAAAAUUACAGUUUAGUAAAUUCAUAGUUCCUUUUAAAUUCCUAUAAUGUUAUAAUGUGGUCAAGCUGACUAAGGUAAAGAAAAAAGGAGACUAAAGAAAGAAAGACUUCUGGAACAAAUUUUCCAUAGAUGAAUAAUUAAGAUGAAUUAGGGCAUAUUUUCUAGGAUCAGCUUGGUAGAAGAGAAAAAUGCUAACAGUGUUUUCAUUUUGUUGAUAAUGUUAAAAAUUA